GUUGUUGUAGUAUAGUGGUGAGUAUCCUUGCCUGUCACGCGGGAGACUUGGGUUUAAUCCCCGGCAACGGCG
This 72-nucleotide transfer RNA is filed under the name Ipomoea nil (Japanese morning glory). It matches the Rfam family "tRNA". From Rfam's summary of the family: Transfer RNA (tRNA) molecules are approximately 80 nucleotides in length. Their secondary structure includes four short double-helical elements and three loops (D, anti-codon, and T loops). The record is from Rfam by way of RNAcentral. Lineage: Eukaryota; Viridiplantae; Streptophyta; Magnoliopsida; Solanales; Convolvulaceae.